This 247-nucleotide ribosomal RNA is filed under the name uncultured bacterium. Its description in RNAcentral is "partial 16S ribosomal RNA". It matches the Rfam family "Bacterial small subunit ribosomal RNA", at positions 93 to 334 of the family's 1533-position model. The record is from RNAcentral.
GAGUGGCGGACGGGUGGNGUAAAGACUUGGGAAGUCUGUCUUUAUGGAGGGGGAGUAACUACGGGAAACUGUAGCUAAUACCGCGUAACAUCUUCGGNUUAAAGUGUGGGCUCUUCGGACCACACGCCAUAAGUUGAGCCCAAGUGGGAUUAGGUAGUUGGUGGGGUAAAGGGCCUACCAAGCUGACGAUCUCUAGCUGGUCUGAGAGGAUGACCAGCCACACUGGAACUGGGGAGACACGGUCCAG